AGGGGUGUAGCUCAAGGGUAGAGUGCUUGUCUACCAUGCAUGAGAGUCCUGGGUUCAAUCCUCAGGACCACGA
This 73-nucleotide transfer RNA is filed under the name Marmota marmota marmota (Alpine marmot). It matches the Rfam family "tRNA". Rfam says of the family: Transfer RNA (tRNA) molecules are approximately 80 nucleotides in length. Their secondary structure includes four short double-helical elements and three loops (D, anti-codon, and T loops). Lineage: Eukaryota; Metazoa; Chordata; Mammalia; Rodentia; Sciuridae. The record is from Rfam by way of RNAcentral. RNAcentral also lists the same sequence under 3 other names.